UGGUCAAGUUAUUAAGGGUGCAGGGCGGAUGCCUUGGCACUAGGAGCCGAUGAAGGACGUGAUAAGCUGCGAUAAGCUUCGGGGAGUUGCACGUAAACUUUGAUCCGAAGAUUUCCGAAUGAGGAAACUCACUUAGAGUAAUGUCUAAGUAUCAUUAAGUGAAUACAUAGCUUAAUGAGGGGAACUCAGGGAACUGAAACAUCUAAGUACCUGAAGGAAGAGAAAGAAAUUCGAUUCCGUAAGUAGCGGCGAGCGAACGCGGAUUAGCCCAAACCAAUAAAGUUUUCUUUAUUGGGGUUGCGGACAUAUCAUAACGAAGAGGUAUCGUAAUUGAAGAGGUUUGGAAAGACCUACCACAGAAGGUAAUAGUCCUGUAUGUUAAACGAGAAGACUUUAGAUAUGAUCCAGAGUACCACGGGACACGUGAAACCCUGUGGGAAGCAGGAGGGACCACCCUCCAAGGCUAAAUACUACCUAGUGACCGAUAGCGUAUAGUACCGUGAGGGAAAGGUGAAAAGAACCCCGGGAGGGGAGUGAAAUAGAACCUGAAACCCUGCACUUACAAGCUGUGGAAGCACAUUUCUUGUGUGACCGCGUACUUUUUGUAGAACGGGCCAACGAGUUACGUUAAGUAGCAAGGUUAAGCACUUAAGGUGCGGAGCCGUAGCGAAAGCGAGUUUUAACUGAGCGUUCAGUUACUUGACGUAGACCCGAAACCGGGCGACCUACCCAUGAGCAGGAUGAAGCGAAAGUAAAAUUUCGUGGAGGUCCGAACCCACGAGCGUUGAAAAGCUCGGGGAUGACUUGUGGGUAGCGGUGAAAUUCCAAUCGAGCCCGGAGAUAGCUGGUUCUCCCCGAAAUAGCUUUAGGGCUAGCCUCAAGGUGAGAGAUACGGAGGUAGAGCACUGAAUGUCCUAGGGGGUAUUGCACCUACCGAAGACUAUCAAACUCCGAAUGCCGUCAUCUUAUACUUGGGAGUCAGACUGUGGGUGAUAAGAUUCAUAGUCGAAAGGGCAACAGCCCAGAUCGUCAGCUAAGGUCCCUAAAUGUAAGUUAAGUGGUAAAGGAUGUGGGAUUGCACAGACAACCAGGAUGUUGGCUUAGAAGCAGCCACUCAUUCAAAGAGUGCGUAAUAGCUCACUGGUCGAGUGAUCCUGCGCCGAAGAUUUCCGGGGCUAAAACUUACUACCGAAGCUACGGCAUCAGUAAUGAUGGGUAGGGGAGCUUCCCAUACGGGUUGAAGCAUGACCGUAAGGAUAUGUGGACAGUAUGGGAGUGAGAAUGUUGGCAUGAGUAGCGAGAUGUGGGUGAGAAUCCCACAGGCCGUAAACCCAAGGUUUCCAGGGGAAGGUUCGUCCGCCCUGGGUUAGUCGGGACCUAAGCUGAGGCCGAAAGGCGUAGGUGAUGGACAACAGGUUGAUAUUCCUGUACUACCGAUAACCGUUUGAGAGAAGGGAUGACACAGUAGGAUAAGCUAAGCACACUGUUGGUUAUGUGUGCCCAAGCAUUGAGGCAGUCAAAGUAGGCAAAUCCGCUUUGAUAAUGCUGGGAUGUGAUGGGGAGCGAAAUUUAGUAGCGAAGUAGCUGAUUUCACACUGUCAAGAAAAGUCUCUAUCGAGGUUAAAGGUACCCGUACCGCAAACCGACACAGGUGGGUGAGGAGAGUAUCCUAAGGCCAGCGAGAGAACUGUUGUUAAGGAACUCGGCAAAAUGACCCCGUAACUUAGGGAUAAGGGGUGCCACCAUCAGGUGGCCGCAGAGAAUAGGCCCAAGCGACUGUUUACCAAAAACAUAGGUUUCUGCUAAGUCGCAAGACGAUGUAUAGGAGCUGACGCCUGCCCGGUGCUGGAAGGUUAAGGGGAUCUGUUAGAGCAAUCGAAGCAGUGAACUUAAGCCCCAGUAAACGGCGGCCGUAACUAUAACGGUCCUAAGGUAGCGAAAUUCCUUGUCGGGUAAGUUCCGACCCGCACGAAAGGCGUAACGAUUUGGGCACUGUCUCAACAACAGACUCGGUGAAAUUGUAAUUCCGGUGAAGAUGCCGGAUACCUGCGACAGGACGGAAAGACCCCAUGGAGCUUUACUGUAGCUUGACAUUGGGUCUUGGUACUACAUGUACAGGAUAGGUGGGAGGCUUUGAAACCAGGACGCCAGUUUUGGCGGAGCCAUCCUUGGGAUACCACCCUUGUAGUACUGGGACUCUAACCAUAGGCCAUGAAUCUGGUCUUGGGACACUGUCAGGUGGGCAGUUUGACUGGGGCGGUCGCCUCCCAAAAGGUAACGGAGGCGCUCAAAGGUUCUCUCAGUACGGUCGGAAAUCGUACGUAGAGUGUAAAGGCAAAAGAGAGCUUGAUUGCAAGACAUACAGGUCGAGCAAGGAUGAAAAUCGGACUUAGUGAUCCGGUGGUUCUGCGUGGAAGGGCCAUCGCUCAACGGAUAAAAGCUACCCUGGGGAUAACAGGCUUAUCUCCCCCAAGAGUCCACAUCGACGGGGAGGUUUGGCACCUCGAUGUCGGCUCAUCACAUCCUGGGGCUGUAGUAGGUCCCAAGGGUUGGGCUGUUCGCCCAUUAAAGUGGUACGCGAGCUGGGUUCAGAACGUCGUGAGACAGUUCGGUCCCUAUCCGUCGCAGGCGUAGGAAAUUUGAGAAGACCUGUCCUUAGUACGAGAGGACCGGGAUGGACGUACCUCUGGUGUACCAGUUGUCCUGCCAAGGGCAUGGCUGGGUAGCUAUGUACGGAAUGGAUAAGCGCUGAAAGCAUCUAAGCGCGAAGCCAACUUCAAGAUAAGAUUUCCCACCGCAAGGGUAAGACCCCAGAAAGACUAUCUGGUUGAUAGGUCGAAGGUGUAAGUGCAGCAAUGUAUUUAGCUUAUCGAUACUAAUAGGUCGAGGACUUGACCAAU
This 2900-nucleotide ribosomal RNA is filed under the name Clostridioides difficile. RNAcentral's name for it is "23S ribosomal RNA". It matches the Rfam family "Bacterial large subunit ribosomal RNA". The record is from RNAcentral. Lineage: Bacteria; Bacillati; Bacillota; Clostridia; Peptostreptococcales; Peptostreptococcaceae.